UACGUAGGGUGCGAGCGUUAAUCGGAAUUACUGGGCGUAAAGCGUGCGCAGGCGGUUGGGUAAGACAGAUGUGAAAUCCCCGGGCUUAACCUGGGAACUGCAUUUGUGACUGUCCGACUGGAGUAUGUCAGAGGGGGGUGGAAUUCCAAGUGUAGCAGUGAAAUGCGUAGAUAUUUGGAAGAACACCGAUGGCGAAGGCAGCCCCCUGGGGCAAAACUGACGCUCAUGCACGAAAGCGUGGGGAGCAAACAGG
RNAcentral lists this ribosomal RNA (253 nucleotides) under Duodenibacillus massiliensis. Its description in RNAcentral is "partial 16S ribosomal RNA". It matches the Rfam family "Bacterial small subunit ribosomal RNA", at positions 524 to 776 of the family's 1533-position model. Lineage: Bacteria; Pseudomonadati; Pseudomonadota; Betaproteobacteria; Burkholderiales; Sutterellaceae. The record is from RNAcentral.